Molecule: ribosomal RNA, 406 nt
Filed under: uncultured bacterium
Lineage: Bacteria
Description: partial 16S ribosomal RNA
Rfam family: Bacterial small subunit ribosomal RNA
Source: RNAcentral
AUCGAACGCUGGCGGCAGGCCUAACACAUGCAAGUCGAGCGAGCGGCGGACGGGUGAGCAAUGUGUGGGAAACCGCUUGAUGGAGGGGGAUAACUACUGGAAACGGUAGCUAAUACCGAAUAUAACAGGAUGUGUACAGGUGGGAUUAGCUAGGAGGCAGGGUAAUGGCACACCUAGGCGACGAUCCCUAGCUGGUCUGAGAGGAUGACCAGCCACACUGGAACUGAGACACGGUCCAGACUCCUACGGGAGGCAGCAGUAGGGAAUCUUGCACAAUGGGCGAAAGCCUGAUGCAGCCAUGCCGCGUGAGUGAAGAAGGCCUUCGGAUUGUAAAGCUCUUUCGGCGGGGAAGCGUUACUCGCAGAAAAAGCACCGGCUAACUCCGUGCCAGCAGCCGCGGUAAUAC